This 1393-nucleotide ribosomal RNA is filed under the name Shigella dysenteriae. RNAcentral's name for it is "partial 23S ribosomal RNA". It matches the Rfam family "Bacterial large subunit ribosomal RNA", at positions 1573 to 2925 of the family's 2925-position model. Lineage: Bacteria; Pseudomonadati; Pseudomonadota; Gammaproteobacteria; Enterobacterales; Enterobacteriaceae. The record is from RNAcentral.
GGCACUACGGUGCUGAAGCAACAAAUGCCCUGCUUCCAGGAAAAGCCUCUAAGCAUCAGGUAACAUCAAAUCGUACCCCAAACCGACACAGGUGGUCAGGUAGAGAAUACCAAGGCGCUUGAGAGAACUCGGGUGAAGGAACUAGGCAAAAUGGUGCCGUAACUUCGGGAGAAGGCACGCUGAUAUGUAGGUGAAGUCCCUUGCGGAUGGAGCUGAAAUCAGUCGAAGAUACCAGCUGGCUGCAACUGUUUAUUAAAAACACAGCACUGUGCAAACACGAAAGUGGACGUAUACGGUGUGACGCCUGCCCGGUGCCGGAAGGUUAAUUGAUGGGGUCAGCGCAAGCGAAGCUCUUGAUCGAAGCCCCGGUAAACGGCGGCCGUAACUAUAACGGUCCUAAGGUAGCGAAAUUCCUUGUCGGGUAAGUUCCGACCUGCACGAAUGGCGUAAUGAUGGCCAGGCUGUCUCCACCCGAGACUCAGUGAAAUUGAACUCGCUGUGAAGAUGCAGUGUACCCGCGGCAAGACGGAAAGACCCCGUGAACCUUUACUAUAGCUUGACACUGAACAUUGAGCCUUGAUGUGUAGGAUAGGUGGGAGGCUUAGAAGUGUGGACGCCAGUCUGCAUGGAGCCGACCUUGAAAUACCACCCUUUAAUGUUUGAUGUUCUAACGUUGACCCGUAAUCCGGGUUGCGGACAGUGUCUGGUGGGUAGUUUGACUGGGGCGGUCUCCUCCUAAAGAGUAACGGAGGAGCACGAAGGUUGGCUAAUCCUGGUCGGACAUCAGGAGGUUAGUGCAAUGGCAUAAGCCAGCUUGACUGCGAGCGUGACGGCGCGAGCAGGUGCGAAAGCAGGUCAUAGUGAUCCGGUGGUUCUGAAUGGAAGGGCCAUCGCUCAACGGAUAAAAGGUACUCCGGGGAUAACAGGCUGAUACCGCCCAAGAGUUCAUAUCGACGGCGGUGUUUGGCACCUCGAUGUCGGCUCAUCACAUCCUGGGGCUGAAGUAGGUCCCAAGGGUAUGGCUGUUCGCCAUUUAAAGUGGUACGCGAGCUGGGUUUAGAACGUCGUGAGACAGUUCGGUCCCUAUCUGCCGUGGGCGCUGGAGAACUGAGGGGGGCUGCUCCUAGUACGAGAGGACCGGAGUGGACGCAUCACUGGUGUUCGGGUUGUCAUGCCAAUGGCACUGCCCGGUAGCUAAAUGCGGAAGAGAUAAGUGCUGAAAGCAUCUAAGCACGAAACUUGCCCCGAGAUGAGUUCUCCCUGACCCUUUAAGGGUCCUGAAGGAACGUUGAAGACGACGACGUUGAUAGGCCGGGUGUGUAAGCGCAGCGAUGCGUUGAGCUAACCGGUACUAAUGAACCGUGAGGCUUAACCUUACAACGCCGAAGCUGUU